Molecule: ribosomal RNA, 716 nt
Filed under: Ampithoe lacertosa
Lineage: Eukaryota; Metazoa; Arthropoda; Malacostraca; Amphipoda; Ampithoidae
Description: bacterial SSU rRNA
Rfam family: Eukaryotic small subunit ribosomal RNA
Source: RNAcentral
GAUCCUGCCAGUAGUCAUAUGCUUGUCUCAAAGAUUAAGCCAUGCAUGUCUAAGUCCAAGCUGUGUUUACACGGCGAGACCGCGGACGGCUCAUUAAAUCAGUCGUGGUCCAAAUGGGAUAGUCCAAUGUACUUGGAUAACUGUGGUAAUUCCAGAGCUAAUACAUGCAACUGAAACCUCGAUGGGAGCCCUUCUUUCGGUCGCUUGCCGUCCGUUGGUUGGAUCCUUCCUGACAGGUGCUUUUAUUAGACCAAUCCGCUGGUGGCUGAGUUGUUCUAAUGAGACGCGUGCACGGGCUAUCGGCUUCUGUCGUGUGUUCCGCGAGGCGUGUUCUUGAGGGCUCUCAGUCAGACUUGCUUUGUGGUGACUCUGGAUAACCAUUUUUGACAAGCGCACGUACCCCUCUCACGAGCGGGACGGCGCUGCCACUUUCGAGUGUCUGCCUUAUCAGCUGUCAAUCGCUCGCUACACGCGACCGAUGGCUUUGACGGGUAACGGGGAAUCAGGGUUCGAUUCCGGAGAGGCAGCCUGAGAGACGGCUACCACGUCCAAGGACGGCAGCAGGCACGCAAAUUACCCAAUCCCAGCACAUGGGGGAGGUAGUGACGAAAUCUAACGAUGCGGGCGCCCUUCCAGGGCCCCGCAAUCGGAAUGAGCACUUUCUAAACAACCUGUUGAGAACCUACUGAAGGGCAAGUCUGGUGCCAGCAGCCGCG